CUGGCUUAUCUCAUCUCUGCACCUCCUAGUACAGCCUCUUCUUCCAGGCAUGUGGCUCGGUUCUCUGGAACAAGGAGUCUCCCAGUGCAUGGCUCAGUGGCCACGGGUCCUGUCUGAGCCUGCAUGAACAUUCCUGCCAUUGGAACAAAAGCAACAGAGGCUGGAUACCAAGAACCCUCGGUGGAUGGUGUAGGGUGUGUACCACUGUGGCUGCAUCCCAAAAACUGACAUGGAUAAAGCCAGGAGUCCCUGGUUAGCACAGCUGGAGUGGUGGAGCAGCAGAGAGCAGCCAGGUUUUCCAUGCUGCCUUAGCCUUGAAGAACUCCUCUGCAGCUGGCGCCCACACCAGCCAGCAAUGCCUGAAAGGGAACCUUCUGAGGCACAGCAUUUCUGGCAUAUUUUCUGCUUGCCAUCUGUCUGCAGGGAACCAUCCUCAGGGCAGGAGCCUCCUGUGUCACAGAUUUGGUGCAUCAACCAAGGGCACUGUGACACUCACCAAAGGCAAGGCAGACACAGAAAUGUCACCUUCAGUCUGAGAUCAGUCCAGCACAUCCUGUCAAAGCACCCACACUGGCUGGAGGGAAGGAAAGAUGUCUUGGCUCAUCCUGACAUCAGACCACUGGGCCACCAGCAAGGAAUGUCAUGUUCAUGACACAGAAGAGAUGGAGGACCAGGACCACCUAGCCCAGUAUAAAGAAUAUUCUUCUGGCAAGGUGUGAAGGACAGGGAUCCUCAGGUACCCCUUCUUGACCACCAUUUGUGUAUGCUGUCCAAAUAAUUGUUUUUGAAUGGCAGCCAG
RNAcentral lists this long non-coding RNA (799 nucleotides) under Junco hyemalis (dark-eyed junco). RNAcentral describes it as "lncRNA (ENSJHYG00000002433.1)". The record is from RNAcentral. Lineage: Eukaryota; Metazoa; Chordata; Aves; Passeriformes; Passerellidae.